GACGAACGCUGGCGGCGUGCUUAACACAUGCAAGUCGAACGGAAAGGCCCUGCUUUUGUGGGGUGCUCGAGUGGCGAACGGGUGAGUAACACGUGAGUGACCUGCCCUUGACUUUGGGAUAACUUCAGGAAACUGGUGCUAAUACCGGAUAGGACCUCCUGCUGCAUGGUGGGGGUUGGAAAGUUUCGGCGGUUGGGGGUGGACGCGCGGCUUAUCAGCUUGUUGGUGGGGUGUUUGCUUACCCAGGCUUUGACGGGUAGCGGGCCUGUGAGGGUGACCGGCCACAUUGGGACUGGGAUAGCGCCCAGACUCCUACAGGAGGCAGUAGUGGGGAUUAUUGCACAGUGGGCGGAAGUCUGAUGCAGUAACGCCGCGUGCGGGAUGACGGCCUUGGGGUUGUAAACCGUUUGCGCCUGUGACCACGCGUGAGUGACGGUAAUGGGUAAAGAAGCACCGGCUAACUACGUG
RNAcentral lists this ribosomal RNA (468 nucleotides) under uncultured bacterium. RNAcentral's name for it is "partial 16S ribosomal RNA". It matches the Rfam family "Bacterial small subunit ribosomal RNA", at positions 28 to 507 of the family's 1533-position model. The record is from RNAcentral.